This 77-nucleotide transfer RNA is filed under the name Anaerolineae bacterium. RNAcentral describes it as "tRNA-Ala". It matches the Rfam family "tRNA". Rfam says of the family: Transfer RNA (tRNA) molecules are approximately 80 nucleotides in length. Their secondary structure includes four short double-helical elements and three loops (D, anti-codon, and T loops). Further hydrogen bonds mediate the characteristic L-shaped molecular structure. tRNAs have two regions of fundamental functional importance: the anti-codon, which is responsible for specific mRNA codon recognition, and the 3' end, to which the tRNAs corresponding amino acid is attached (by aminoacyl-tRNA synthetases). tRNAs cope with the degeneracy of the genetic code in two manners: having more than one tRNA (with a specific anti-codon) for a particular amino acid; and 'wobble' base-pairing, i.e. permitting non-standard base-pairing at the 3rd anti-codon position. The record is from RNAcentral. Lineage: Bacteria; Bacillati; Chloroflexota; Anaerolineae.
GGGCCUGUGGCGCAGCUUGGGAGCGCGCUUCAAUGGCAUUGAAGAGGUCAAGGGUUCGAGUCCCUUCAGGUCCACCA